UACGGAGGGUGCGAGCGUUGUCCGGAAUUAUUGGGCGUAAAGAGCUCGUAGGCGGUGUGUCGCGUCGGCCGUGAAAACCUGGGGCUCAACUCUGGGCGUGCGGUCGAUACGGGCAUCACUUGAGUUCGGCAGGGGAGACUGGAAUUCCUGGUGUAGCGGUGAAAUGCGCAGAUAUCAGGAGGAACACCGGUGGCGAAGGCGGGUCUCUGGGCCGAUACUGACGCUGAGGAGCGAAAGCAUGGGUAGCGAACAGG
RNAcentral lists this ribosomal RNA (254 nucleotides) under uncultured bacterium. RNAcentral's name for it is "partial 16S ribosomal RNA". It matches the Rfam family "Bacterial small subunit ribosomal RNA", at positions 524 to 776 of the family's 1533-position model. The record is from RNAcentral.